This 490-nucleotide ribosomal RNA is filed under the name uncultured bacterium. RNAcentral's name for it is "partial 16S ribosomal RNA". It matches the Rfam family "Bacterial small subunit ribosomal RNA", at positions 29 to 507 of the family's 1533-position model. The record is from RNAcentral.
AGUGAACGCUGGCGGUAGGCCUAACACAUGCAAGUCGAACGGAAGCACAGGAGAGCUUGCUCUCUAGGUGGCGAGUGGCGGACGGGUGAGGCAUACAUCGGAAUCUGCUCAGUCGUGGGGGAAAACGUAGGGAAACUUACGCUAAUACCGCAUACGACCUUCGGGUGAAAGAGGGGGAUCGCAAGACCUCUCGCGAUUGGAUGAGCCGAUGUCGGAUUAGCUAGUUAGCGGGGUAAUGGCCCACCAAGGCGACGAUCCGUAGCUGAUCUGAGAGGAUGAUCGGCCACACUGGAACUGAGACACGGUCCAGACUCCUACGGGAGGCAGCAGUGGGGAAUAUUGGGCAAUGGGCGCAAGCCUGACCCAGCCAUACCGCGUGGGUGAAGAAGGCCUUCGGGUUGUAAAGCCCUUUUGUUGGGAAAGAAAUCUUUCAGGCUAAUACCCUGGGAGGAUGACGGUACCCAAAGAAUAAGCACCGGCUAACUUCGUG